RNAcentral lists this long non-coding RNA (1540 nucleotides) under Canis lupus familiaris (dog). RNAcentral describes it as "lncRNA (ENSCAFG00805023723.1, ENSCAFG00845022594.1)". The record is from RNAcentral. Lineage: Eukaryota; Metazoa; Chordata; Mammalia; Carnivora; Canidae.
UUCUGCGUUUCUGACCGGGUCAGAGGCCCCAGCACUGGGCUUGCAAGCACUUUGGAUUAUUAUUUUUAUCUUUAACCCUAGCACUUACUUUCAUUUCUUAGGUGAUACUCAGUUCCUCCUGCGAAGGUGUAAUUCUGUUCACACCUUCCGUGUUUCCACUUGCCAUAGCCCAGCCCGGCACAGCCCUUGAAAACUGGCCCUUCCAUCAUCCAUCAAUCCAAUUUGGAGAGCACCGUCUCACCUCUCGGGGAAUCACAACCCUUCUAGUUCAUCAAAGACGGAGAAGUCAGCAACACCGAGGACACAGACCCAAGUCCCGGGUUUAUUUGGCCAUAGGAACGCUUUUUUCAUGACAUCUGCCAACAUCCCCCAGGAAAAGGAUUUGGGAAAUACUCAUCCAGAGACAUCCUAAGGCAUGGAGUUCAACACUAAGCCUUCACUUUUUGUAGUCUUAGGCUAAGAAUUGACGGGCCAAUCUUAUUUUUAAAAAAUUCUUCUAUCUAUCUAGCACUCUUUUUGCCUAUUACAAGGAAACUGGACUUUGAAUUUUUCCAGGUGCUAUUUGGGGCAGAGUCAACAAAUAACAAAUUCCUUUCUCUCUUUGGAGCACAAUCCUAAAACAUUACUCUUGAAUCGGUCUCCACAGACACUGCCAAUUGAAUUUGCUGUUUUACCAGUUGUUUGGGAUUUCCGUCCCCCCCUACGUGGUUCAUCUAUAUAAUCAGCUACUAUUGAAGGCUGGUAAUAAGAUCCCGUGGCCGCCCGGCUGCCUGCCUGGGCCACAGGCUUCUGCUAAGGCAUGAAGAGAGGGCAGACCUGGCCCCCGGCUGUGGCUGCCCUUGACUGUUGCCCCUGCCCCCCUCUCCCUCCCAGGCCCAGGCUGGCUGGGAGCCGCUGAACACUUUGGGCUUUAGCCUUCUCGUGAGCAUGGACUGUGUCUCAGCCACGGAUGAGACCCGUGAGAAUAUUAGCAUGUCGGGGCUGGGAAUCGUCCUCAGGAAUCACCCAGCAAGCUCGGGCCUCAUUUUCAGGUAAGGAUAAGCUUAUUCAAAUGGUGACAUAAUGUAGUAGAUGCCGUUGGUACCACCCAGGUCACGCAGGGUGGGUGCCCCUGACCAGGUUUCUUGAGUGGUGGCUGUUUACCUGCCUGAGGCUGCAGAGACUGCUCUGGCCAACAGGUACCCCUCUUUGUCUGGGAGGCUAUUUCCCGAUGAUCCUCCCUCUGCCCCCCAAGCUCACAGCCUGUAGCCACUGGCUGGCUGAUAUGGGGGUAUGAGAGGCCAGCCCCCUUGUUCCAAGGUGAAGCCAACUGUGGCACAGAUGAUGUUCCCUGUGGGCUGGGCCUGAUGUCUGCAGUGAGGUGCCACAUUAGCCUUCUUCCUCUGUUCUGCCUCCCUCCAUUUCCCUGAUACCAGCCCCACAGAAAACCACUUAUACAAGAAUCCUUGUCUUGGGCUCUGUGUCUAGGGAAUCUGACUUGAGACAGAACAGUUGCUGGCUAAGUUAAUAAAGUCUCACAAUUUUUGUUUUGAAGAAUAAA